AGUAUCGUAGCCAAUGAGGUUAAUCCGAGGCACGAUUACUGCUAAUUGAAAACUUUUCCCAAU
RNAcentral lists this small nuclear RNA (63 nucleotides) under Anolis carolinensis (green anole). Its description in RNAcentral is "U4 spliceosomal RNA (ENSACAG00000038326.1)". It matches the Rfam family "U4 spliceosomal RNA", at positions 17 to 79 of the family's 138-position model. Rfam says of the family: U4 small nuclear RNA (U4 snRNA) is a component of the major U2-dependent spliceosome. The structure of U4 snRNA from yeast and human has been reported. Lineage: Eukaryota; Metazoa; Chordata; Lepidosauria; Squamata; Anolidae. The record is from RNAcentral.